RNAcentral lists this long non-coding RNA (299 nucleotides) under Spirodela polyrhiza (greater duckweed). RNAcentral's name for it is "long non-coding RNA (SPOL_LNC001931)". The record is from RNAcentral. Lineage: Eukaryota; Viridiplantae; Streptophyta; Magnoliopsida; Alismatales; Araceae.
GGUAUCGCGACGGGGCCCCCGACGAGGAGCUCCUCCGAGAGGCGUACAGUAGCCUCCACUUCAAGCAGUUCAACCACUAGGCGACCACCAGACGUUCCGGCUUGCAUCUUGCAAGCGGGCCGACACUCAAUAACAAAAUUGAACGGUUCAGUCCUAAUUAUAAAAUAAUAUUUCCAUGUACUUUCCAAUAAAAGUGUUUAUGUUUUCGGAAUAUGCCCAUCUGGAACGUGUUGCAUGUCCCGAUUAUAGUAAAAAAAUAAUGUACUUUCCAAAAAGAGAGUUAUGAUUUCGUAAUAUGC